This 480-nucleotide ribosomal RNA is filed under the name uncultured bacterium. Its description in RNAcentral is "SSU rRNA". It matches the Rfam family "Bacterial small subunit ribosomal RNA", at positions 26 to 523 of the family's 1533-position model. The record is from RNAcentral.
AGGACGAACGCUGGCGGCGUGCUUAACACAUGCAAGUCGAGCGAGGCCCUCUCUUCGGAGAGGUGCCCUAGCGGCGAACGGGUGAGUAACACGUGGGCAACCUGCCCCUAGCACUGGGAUAAGCCCGGGAAACCGGGUCUAAUACCGGAUAUGACCUUCAAGGGCAUCCUCGAAGGUGUAAAGGAUUCUGGCUAGGGAUGGGCCCGCGGCCUAUCAGCUUGUUGGUGGGGUAAUGGCCCACCAAGGCAACGACGGGUAGCCGGCCUGAGAGGGCGACCGGCCACACUGGGACUGAGACACGGCCCAGACUCCUACGGGAGGCAGCAGUGGGGAAUAUUGCACAAUGGGCGAAAGCCUGAUGCAGCGACGCCGCGUGAGGGAUGACGGCCUUCGGUUGUAACCUCUUCAGCUCCGACGAAGCGAAGUGACGGUAGGAGCAGAAGAAGCGACCGGCCAACUACGCGCCAGCAGCCGCGGUAA